AUAUUUUAGAUGAGAAUGAGAUUUCAUCGAGGGGUGUGAAAAAUUUUUGUGGAUGCGAGAUGGCAUGUGGAGAGGGUGCGAGACAAGUUCUAUAGCAUCCCACCGCUAACUAUUUAAAGGGGGCUGCGUCGAACAUUUGAUUCAUUUAGUUUUUCAAUUCCUCCUUUCUUUCUAACAUCCUCUCCCUAUUGUCCAAUUAAUCCCUUCCUUCUCUUAUUAGGAUAAGUCUAAAAAUACUAAGGAUAAGUUUGAUUUUAGGACAAGUGCCUAGGAAGAGAUAUAAGGAAGACAAGGAGAGAAGAAAGGUAG
This 309-nucleotide long non-coding RNA is filed under the name Elaeis guineensis (African oil palm). Its description in RNAcentral is "long non-coding RNA (EGUI_LNC048229)". The record is from RNAcentral. Lineage: Eukaryota; Viridiplantae; Streptophyta; Magnoliopsida; Arecales; Arecaceae.